GAGAAUCUCAUUCUCACUCUGCUCACGUUUUUGUUAAAUCAAAAGGUGAGGCAACAGCUUUUGUUCAUUUCAGGUUGUGUUGGAGAAAGGGUAAGACCUGGGGCUACUCAGCAGAAUGUAAAAGGUGCCUCCAUAAAGAAGUGUAUCUGAGAGCGACUGCGUGUGAUUCCACAGCACAGUUGAUGAUGACACCACCAUCCCUCUUGGUGACAGAUGCACUGUUGCAUCCUCCCGACUCUCUGGCCCACUCUGGUUAUGAAUGUUGCUGGCAUGCCAUAGAAAUACUGGGUGUGCUGACCUUGGCUGAAGUAGAAUGCAGGGUUUCUAAUAUUCCCCACUCCUAGAGAGGCGAAUACCAGCUGGGGAUACAGGCAGCAAAGACACAUCCACACAAAGAGCUGUUUAACUGUCCAGAGGCCCUCUGGGUACUCCACCUUUCACUUUAUCCCUUUAAUAUUUCAUGUCCUGGCCCCAACCGUGCUCUGGCCAAAUGCCUCUGCCUGGGUUACUGGAAUAUGGAUGAGAGUGCACACUUACCCAUUUACCUGGAUGUCAGUGGGAAGUGGUUCUAAACAAUACACCUUGCCUCCUCACAACCUCACCUCUGCUCACCUCACUGGGCCCAGAGCUAGCUUGUUAGAAAGAGGAGGAGGUAACGAAGGGGGUCAGGAAGAGACAGAAAAAUCCUACAAAGAGGAGUCUUGGGAUAACAAAUGCACAACAUCAAGUAGAGACGAUGGAGGAUGAUUGUGCUUCUGUUAGAAUUGACGGCUUUGUAUAAAAUAAACAUGCAAGCUGCACAUCUAGUCAUUGUGAAUAUAAUAAAGGUUCUUGUUCGAUAAUGAAA
Molecule: long non-coding RNA, 847 nt
Organism: Gambusia affinis (western mosquitofish)
Lineage: Eukaryota; Metazoa; Chordata; Actinopteri; Cyprinodontiformes; Poeciliidae
Exons: 3
Source: RefSeq, a predicted model, not a curated record